UGGGUUACAAUUAAAUUUGGUUAACAAACUAAACCGGUUUAAACAUAAAAUGGAUUACAAUACAAACCUAAACCUAAAUAAAUAAAAAAUCUUCAUGCCCUUCGUGUCUUGCGCCGUCAAGGUAUGCCUGGAACUGAAGUGCCGUCAUUUUGCUCCGGUCGCUUCAAGACCGUCUCUCUUGGCGGGAUUCCGGAGCCUGAGGGGAUUGAAUCUCGAUUGAUAGCUAGAGAUGGAACAGGAGAGUGAGCGGCGAUAGAAGCUGUGAGCGGUGGAGAUAGGAGGAAGUCGUGAGUGAUGAGCGGUGGAGGCAUAAGAGCCGUGAGCGGUGAAUCUAAAAGGAUGAGGUGAGCAGAAGAGAUAAGAGGAUGAGGUGAGCGGUGGAGAUAGGAGAGCCAUGAGCAGUGGAGAUAGGAGUAAGAAUAUGGAGGUGAGACGAAUGAUGAAGUAAAAUAUUAUCGAAGUGUGGAAGGAGGAGAGAAUAGGAGAUAGAAGAAGCUCAAUGUGAAGGAACUGAAAACAAAUCUGAAGGAGAGAGGAGAAGGGGGAAGAGAAAUCUGAACCAUUAGAUUAAAAACUAAUCAAGGGUGUAGAUAGCAAUCCUUGCAAAAAGAUAUUGGCCAAUAAGAAAUGAGAAAAUUUUAAAGAUUCACAAAUAAUUGUAAUUUUAUUGCUGUUCAAAUUGUCGUUAAUAUGUCGUUUUAAAAAUCCCAAAUAACUGUAACUCAUUUUUUAAGAUUCACGAAAAGAAAAGUUUACAUCUUGCACACACACUAAUAUUUCAUUGUAAAGUUCAUAUGCAAUAUCUGGUUUAGAUGAUACCGCCACAAGUCCGGGACAUCAAUAAAUAUAAAAUAAAACGGAGGGAGUACCGCUUAUUUUCGACAUUUGUUUCUGAUGCUAAGUAACAACGUACCCAUAUGUUGCUAAUUAGCUUCACUUUCUAAAUGUCAAUAAUUAACGACGCAAUGCCUAAAUGUGGUAUUUUAAAAUUUUGUUUUAAAUUAAUUAAAUCAUGUAACUAAAAACUUUCAGAUUAAACCAGUUUACAGAAAAUGGAAUUGGUUUGCAAAAUAAAUAAUCAAAAUUAGUUUAUAAAUAAAAUCUGGGUUACAAUUAAAUUUGGUUAACAAACUAAACCGGUUUAAACAUAAAAUGGAUUACAAUACAAACCUAAACCUAAAUAAAUAAAAAAUCUUCAUGCCCUUCGUGUCUUGCGCCGUCAAGGUAUGCCUGGAACUGAAGUGCCGUCAUUUUGCUCCGGUCGCUUCAAGACCGUCUCUCUUGGCGGGAUUCCGGAGCCUGAGGGGAUUGAAUCUCGAUUGAUAGCUAGAGAUGGAACAGGAGAGUGAGCGGCGAUAGAAGCUGUGAGCGGUGGAGAUAGGAGGAAGUCGUGAGUGAUGAGCGGUGGAGGCAUAAGAGCCGUGAGCGGUGAAUCUAAAAGGAUGAGGUGAGCAGAAGAGAUAAGAGGAUGAGGUGAGCGGUGGAGAUAGGAGAGCCAUGAGCAGUGGAGAUAGGAGUAAGAAUAUGGAGGUGAGACGAAUGAUGAAGUAAAAUAUUAUCGAAGUGUGGAAGGAGGAGAGAAUAGGAGAUAGA
This 1593-nucleotide long non-coding RNA is filed under the name Brassica napus (rape). RNAcentral's name for it is "long non-coding RNA (BNAP_LNC023165)". The record is from RNAcentral. Lineage: Eukaryota; Viridiplantae; Streptophyta; Magnoliopsida; Brassicales; Brassicaceae.